This 554-nucleotide ribosomal RNA is filed under the name uncultured bacterium. Its description in RNAcentral is "partial 16S ribosomal RNA". It matches the Rfam family "Bacterial small subunit ribosomal RNA", at positions 355 to 900 of the family's 1533-position model. The record is from RNAcentral.
UAGGGAAUCUUCCACAAUGGACGCAAGUCUGAUGGAGCAAACCCCCGUGAGUGAAGAAGGUUUUCGGACCGUAAAGCUCUGUUGUUGGUGAAGAAGGAUAGAGGUAGUAACUGGCCUUUAUUUGACGGUAAUCAACCAGAAAGUCACGGCUAACUACGUGCCAGCAGCCGCGGUAAUACGUAGGUGGCAAGCGUUGUCCGGAUUUAUUGGGCGUAAAGCGAGCGCAGGCGGAAGAAUAAGUCUGAUGUGAAAGCCCUCGGCUUAACCGAGGAAUUGCAUCGGAAACUGUUUUCUUGAGUGCAGAAGAGGAGAGUAGAACUCCAUGUGUAGCGGUGGAAUGCGUAGAUAUAUGGAAGAAUACCAGUGGCGAAGGCGGCUCUCUGGUCUGCAACUGACGCUGAGGCUCGAAAGCAUGGGUAGCGAACAGGAUUAGAUACCCUGGUAGUCCAUGCCGUAAACGAUGAGUGCUAAGUGUUGGGAGGCUUCCGCCUCUCAGUGCUGCAGCUAACGCAUUAAGCACUCCGCCUGGGGGAGUACGACCGCAAGGUUGAAAC